Molecule: ribosomal RNA, 405 nt
Filed under: uncultured bacterium
Lineage: Bacteria
Description: partial 16S ribosomal RNA
Rfam family: Bacterial small subunit ribosomal RNA
Source: RNAcentral
GUUGAACGCUGGCGGCGUGCCUAAUACAUGCAAGUCGAGCGAAGCGGGGACGGGUGAGUAACACGUGGAUAACCUCCUAUAAGACUGGGUUACUUUAGGGAAACCGGAGCUAAACCGGUUACUGAUAGAUGGAGCUUGGCUGGAUUAGCUAGUUGGUAAGUGAACGGCUUACCAAGGCAACGAUGCAUAGCCGACCUGAGAGGGUGAUCGGCCACACUGGAACUGAGACACGGUCCAGACUCCUACGGGAGGCAGCAGUAGGGAAUCUUCCGCAAUGGGCGAAAGCCUGACGCAGCCACGCCGCGUGAGUGAUGAAGGUCUUCGGAUCGUAAAACUCUUUUAGUAGGGAAGCGGUACCUAAUCAGAAAGCCACGGCUAACUACGUGCCAGCAGCCGCGGUAAUAC